RNAcentral lists this non-coding RNA (29 nucleotides) under Rattus norvegicus (Norway rat). Lineage: Eukaryota; Metazoa; Chordata; Mammalia; Rodentia; Muridae. The record is from RNAcentral.
UGGUAAAGAGAGGAAGACAAACACUGACA